ACAGCAGGGGCCUUUGCUGGCCCGGCUGACCUGGACGUCCAGGACGGAGGGGAGGGCUGCCUUGCCAGUCACCAUCUGGAUCAAGUAAGAGUCCAUUUCUGGGAAGGAGAGCUGCAAGGAUGAUGAUGAGGAGGAGGAGAUGCUGCUAAGAGUCCUACCAAGUUAUUGUCAGACUAACUUUCCCUCUGGGAAUCAUGGAUGGCUGGGGUCUUAAUGGGAAGCUGAUUUUGGGUCUGCCAUGUCUGGGUCUGAUGGACGCACCAGAAGAGUGACCCUCUGAAGCCCCAGCUGGGGGCAAGGCUGGCUGGCACUGUCCUGCCAGUUAGCCCCCAGCUCCCCGAUGGUAAGAAUCGGAUGCGGAAUCCCUGACCCAUAUCUGACGGUGGAACAAUCUUGCCACAAAAACCUUUACGAACAAACACUAGAUGUGCUCUGGACAUAGCAGAACAACCAGCUGAACCGGAUCUACCUUUGACUUGAUUGUUUGUCUAAAUUUAAGGAGCCUUGAGACCCAGAUCUUGUACAAAGGCAUCAUUCUCUGUUUCCUGGCAGGAGAAAGAACUGGCCAAGCCCUGGGAAACAUCAGCACUGGGUCAUUGAAUCCAGGCUGUUUCUCAGGGCUGGGGGCUUGGAGGUUUCUGAUUCAGGGGGUGCCAAAAACGAAAGACGACUUGACAGCAAAGACCAACAGAUGCAGUGGAUCCUGGAGAGGGCCACAGAGAUCUGAAACCAAGCUCAGCUGCUGGCAAGCAGGACAGAGAGUGAGUCAUUCUGCCAUGUUUGUUCUCUCCUAUUUCCACAUCUGAGGCAUUUGGUAAAGUUUGGAUGGAACAA
Long non-coding RNA from Sceloporus undulatus (fence lizard), 834 nucleotides. RefSeq lists it as uncharacterized. The record is from RefSeq and is a predicted model, not a curated record. NCBI's taxonomy places the organism in Eukaryota, Metazoa, Chordata, Lepidosauria, Squamata, Phrynosomatidae. The transcript has 2 exons.